Molecule: ribosomal RNA, 544 nt
Filed under: uncultured bacterium
Lineage: Bacteria
Description: partial 16S ribosomal RNA
Rfam family: Bacterial small subunit ribosomal RNA
Source: RNAcentral
UGGGGAAUAUUGCACAAUGGGCGCAAGCCUGAUGCAGCCAUGCCGCGUGUGUGAAGAAGGCCUUCGGGUUGUAAAGCACUUUCAGCGAGGAGGAAGGUGGUGAGCUUAAUACGCUCAUCAAUUGACGUUACUCGCAGAAGAAGCACCGGCUAACUCCGUGCCAGCAGCCGCGGUAAUACGGAGGGUGCAAGCGUUAAUCGGAAUUACUGGGCGUAAAGCGCACGCAGGCGGUUUGUUAAGUCAGAUGUGAAAUCCCCGGGCUCAACCUGGGAACUGCAUUUGAAACUGGCAAGCUAGAGUCUCGUAGAGGGGGGUAGAAUUCCAGGUGUAGCGGUGAAAUGCGUAGAGAUCUGGAGGAAUACCGGUGGCGAAGGCGGCCCCCUGGACGAAGACUGACGCUCAGGUGCGAAAGCGUGGGGCAGCAAACAGGAUUAGAUACCCUGGUAGUCCAGCGCUGUAAAACGAUGUCGAUUUUGGAGGUUGUGCCCCUUGAGGCGUGGCUUCCGGAGCUAACGCGUUAAAUCGACCGCCUGGGGGAGUACGG